CCUACGGGUGGCAGCAGUGGGGAAUAUUGCACAAUGGGGGAAACCCUGAUGCAGCGACGCCGCGUGAAGGACGAAGUAUUUCGGUACGUAAACUUCUAUCAGCAGGGAAGAAAAUGACGGUACCUGACCAAGAAGCACCGGCUAACUACGUGCCAGCAGCCGCGGUAAUACGUAGGGGGCAAGCGUUAUCCGGAUUUACUGGGUGUAAAGGGAGCGUAGACGGCGGUGCAAGCCAGAUGUGAAAGCCCGGGGCUCAACCCCGGGACUGCAUUUGGAACUGUGCUGCUAGAGUGUCGGAGAGGCAGGCGGAAUUCCUAGUGUAGCGGUGAAAUGCGUAGAGAUUAGGAGGAACACCAGUGGCGAAGGCGGCCUGCUGGACGAUGACUGACGUUGAGGCGCGAAAGCGUGGGGAGCAAACAGGAUUAGAUACCCGGGUAGUC
RNAcentral lists this ribosomal RNA (440 nucleotides) under uncultured bacterium. RNAcentral's name for it is "partial 16S ribosomal RNA". It matches the Rfam family "Bacterial small subunit ribosomal RNA", at positions 338 to 795 of the family's 1533-position model. The record is from RNAcentral.